AGCACUUUGAAAAGAGGGUGAAAAGAACCUGAAACCGUUACGACAGAAGCGUAUUGCGUUGAAUUGAGGGCUGUUUAACUCUUCAGCUGAACGUGAGUUUAGUGUACUGAGUUAAGUAGUUAUCCGUCGUGCCUUUUCUGUGGCUGAUAUUGAGCCGCGGGAGAGGGAGGGAUCCCCUUUAUGGGUGAGGACGAUGGAGUGGCAACGCGAUGCGACCCGUCUUGAAACACGGACCAAGGAGUCUAACAUGUUUGCGAGUUGAAGGGUAGUAAACCUGGAGGCGCAGUGAAAGCGAACUUCUAAAACGGACAGUUUGUGGCGGCAUAAAAUCGUUGAUUUUAGGUCUGACUAAGAGCAAAUAUGUUAGGACCCGAAAGAUGGUGAACUAUGCUUGAGUAGGCCGAAGGCAGAAGAAAUUCUGCUGGAGGGCCGAAGCGGUGCUGACGUGCAAAUCGCUCGUCGAACUCGAGUAUAGGGGCGAAAGACUAAUCGAACCAUCUAGUAGCUGGUUCCCUCCGAAGUUUCUCUCAGGAUAGCGGGCCGACAAUUAUUGUUUUGUGCGGUAAAGCGAAUGAUUAGCGCACUCGGGGGCAUUCAGUCUUCGGUCGAUUCUCAAACUUUUAAUGCGCAAGGGGGCUGCAGCUUAGGUGUGCGGCUCCUCUAAAAAUGUCGGCCUUGUGGGCCACUUUUGGUAAGCAGAACUGGCGAUGUGGGAUGAACCAUACGCGUGGU
Molecule: ribosomal RNA, 732 nt
Filed under: Lomentaria articulata
Lineage: Eukaryota; Rhodophyta; Florideophyceae; Rhodymeniales; Lomentariaceae
Description: eukaryotic LSU rRNA
Rfam family: Eukaryotic large subunit ribosomal RNA
Source: RNAcentral